Long non-coding RNA from Sebastes umbrosus (honeycomb rockfish), 3935 nucleotides. RefSeq lists it as uncharacterized. Lineage: Eukaryota; Metazoa; Chordata; Actinopteri; Perciformes; Sebastidae. The transcript is spliced from 2 exons. The record is from RefSeq and is a predicted model, not a curated record.
AUCGACUAAUGAUAAAUGUAAACAACAAACUAACCGGUAGUGAGAAUAAUCAUCAGUUGCAGCCUUUUUUAUGUUAAACGUAAACGUAAUGUUAAAAAUAAACAAUCCACCGACAUUUCACAGGUUAAAAUUAUUAUUGUUUGGUUCAGUGAGGAAUAUCUGCUUCCGUUUGCUAAAAAGAAAACACAUCAUCAGGAAAAUUAGGGUUAGUGUUCAGUUUCAGAACACUGUUGUGAUGUGUUGUACCAGAAUUAUCAGUGUAACGGUAACAUUUUUUACCAAAGCCGUAGUAAAUGUUAUAAUAAAUGCAGUCUGCAAAAAAGUCGAAGUGUGACCGAAACAAUUGAUGCAACCUGUGUCAUCAUCAGAAAUGAUAAGAAGACUUUCUCUCUUUAACAUUAUCUUUUUUAAGAAGAAAUAUUUCCUCGUUUUGACGUUUUCUCCCACCAAAAAGCGAAUAAUCUUUUUGUGACACAUCCAUGAUUCAGUCAGUGUAGACCAGAAGUACUGCUGCUCAAACCACGUUAUAAACAAAUUAAAUGGGAUAUUUCCCGUUUUUAAUUCAUUCCUCUAAGCAGGAAACAUCCACUCAAGAAACCAGAUAUGGUAGCUACAUGGGAAAAAAAAGCACAUGGAGAUUUGUUUUUCCUGAAUUUCGUUAAGCGAACAAAAAGAAUCUUUAUUGAAAAGUCUUGCAUUUCUUUACAAGGGGGUCGCUCAAACACGGGUGUGUGAAAUGAGAGUUGCCUGGGUGUGACUUCUCCAGAAAGCAUCCGCUUGCUAUUGUCUGCCUAGUCAACUUCUGCAGGCCCCAGUGCCCUGACUUCCAUACAUGAGAGAUCAAGGGUUACCAAGGUGCUUUUGAGAAAGGAGGGCUCAAUGUGAGAGGGGACAAACCAGUCCACAAAAUACUCAUUUCCUUUGCAUGUUAGGUGCCCUAGUGGGGAUUCAGACGGGGUCACCGACACAGCCAGCGUUGUUCUUAAUGAAAACUGUUGCCUUUUCAUCGGCUAUCUGCCGCCUGUACAGUACGCGGCUCGAUAAUGUGCUGAGUUUGCCUAAAAGAAAGUUUGUUCAGACUCUGGCUGUUUAUCCGGAGCCAGACAGAGGCACCUCAUGUAGAAAAGGUAAAAGUAAUUCUGUCCACCUCUCAUUCUUGCCAGAAAGUUCAGUCACUGAGCCACGGCAUUAACUUGUAUUCUAACAAGAUUAAAAUAUAUUCGUCCUGGGGAUUAGCAUAGUUAGGUGUCCUUUUGCCUCUUUUUUUCCUGCACUGGUGCGGUGACAGUGGGCUUUGAUCUGCGUUGCGAGGCAAGAGUCCUGGCUUGGACCUAGCCAUUCGAGUGCCAAGUGUGAAAUUGGCCUGAUGUCAUCCCCAUUCUUCACCUUUUACAUCUUUCACCACUUUAAUUAUGUUUCCGCCACAAAGCCCGGGCACCUCUGAGCAGAUUCCACUCUGGCCGUAGGAAGCAUUUAGAAAGUGGGUAAAUGACACAGUAGGGGAGGGGGAGGAUGGUAGGAGAGGUCAUAGCAGGAUGGGGCCCUUUUGUGUUUAGAGGUAGACAUUGAUACUUCCCUCAUGUAUCCUGCGCUCACUUCCAUUUUUUACAGCGAUGAGAACUUUGCGAAAUUGUCAGCAAUGCUGCAGAAAAAUAACUUUUAUUCCAGACAACUUCUGCAUCCCAUUCCAAGAAGACAUGUUUGUUUUUUUACCCAGUUAUGCACGCACAUAUUACUUGAUUUAUGCUGUCAUGCAUUAUGUUUUCACAGCAAUGCAAGUUGCGUGAAGCAGUUAGACGCCCCAAAACAAGGACCACUUGACCACCUGAAUCUCACUUCUUCUGGCGACUAGACAAAUUAUUCUCGGAUAAAAAAAAAAAAGCUUUUGUUCCAGGAGAAUGUGCACAGCUCCAGCUAUUGUUCAUGCAUCGGUGUCCCUAUCUGAACUUCAGGGAGCUUCUCUGCCGGUGAAUAUUUUGAUGAAGGUUCCUAUUGAUGCGCUGAAUGAAGGACCAAAACAACAGGGGUGUGUGUGUGUGUGUGUGUGUGUGUAUGUGUGUGUGUGUGUGAGGGAGAGAGAGAGAGAGUUGAGAAAGCUGUGUGUGGAGAAUGGGUUACUGAGGGGCGGGAGGGGGGAAACCAGCCACCUGCAGCCAUGACAGGCUUUGACCUUCAUUGCUCUCUCUCUUUCUCUCUCUAGUGUGUCCCACUCUCUCUCUCUCUCUCACCCCCUCCCCUCUCUCUCUCUCUCCUUUCGACUCCCAUUUCUGCCUUGUGAUAGAAGCACAGGCUCCUUUCAGAGGCGGCGAGGAAGACUGACCGUCGUGGAGACAGUGCUGGGAGCCGCUCUAAUGCUAGUAGUCACCGGCCGUUAGACAUGGCGUUCAAAGACUAGCGGUGCAAGCAUGGAAAUGCAGAUAAGGCAUUGUUGAGGAAACAUGCCUGGGAAUUGUUCAAGGCUUUCCUCCUUGCAUAAUGUUGGGAUGCUUUCGCAAAUGUUUUAAUCUCAAAACCCAUGAAUGUGAUCCUCCAUGAAUGUGAUCCAGAACCGCCCAUAGAAUGAGUGGGUGUUUGCAUGGGGAAGGAUUGUCAUGCCAUGCAAAUUAAUAAUGUUUGUGAUUGCAUUUGUGAAUAUUUUGACAUCUGGGAACAUUUAUUUAAAGCUAUUUUUGUAUAUCUUUCUCUUUUCUGGACAAUUUUUACUAGCAAUGCAUUUUUUUCUUCUAGAUUAUAAUGCCUGCAGCUUUGAUUGAAUGUCACAAUAGAUCUCUGUUAUUUUUUUUUUAUGCGUUUAACUGUUUUUUUUUCUUCACAUACAGAUGCCAGAGACAAUGCUUGUGUAUAAUCUUCAAGGUUUAUUUACUCUUCUUUUGCAGUUUUUCAGGAGGCAGUUAAUUACACAAUUAAUACAUGAUACAAAUUAUGUACAUUUAUACCAAAGAAUACUUCCAACAUAAAAUAAAAAAUAGCAUUGUAUUCUACAACUCUGUGUUGUAAUUUUAUUUAAACAUGUUCAUAUAUAGAUAGAUAUACGCUGAUGAGUAAAUUCAUAAUGUCGUACCAGCAGUUUUUCAUAAAGGCAUUAAACUUGAAUAGUCUGCAUUUGAAGUAAUACUGCUUCUCUGAUUCGGCACAGUUCUGUUUCACACAAAGUUCACACCUGAACUUUAAGGCAAAGUGUGUUUCUGUUUGGUGGAUUUUAAUUCACACACACUUUUUGCAGAUACACAACAAAAACACUUUGAAAGGCAAAAAGUCCACAAUUUGGUAUGGAUACAGUCUAAAACUUAGCUCGAUCAUACUUGUGUCGAUAAAGACCAGAGUUUAUAAACACAGUUAUUUGCCCAAGUACAACAAAUUGCAGCUUUCAUGCAAAGGCCCCAUAAACUAUUAUCAUUCACAAAAAAGAAACAAAAAGAAAGUUAUUGCAAGAUAAACAAGCAGUGUAAACACCUCAGAUAUCUACUCUAAAGCAACACUGGUCAUUGGAUAGAUUUUUUUUUUCUCAAUAUAAUCUAUAUAAAUACACAUAUGAAGUCCUUUCAACAACGAUAAGAGAUUUCCAACAUUUGUAAUACAGUCACUGACGGAUUUGCCUUCUUUUUAUGAUAAAUGGAUAUGUAAUAAAACUGUAUAUAGAGAAAAGAUUUAACAAGAACAUCCAAUAACCUGCUUUUUAUAGUCAAAAGAGUGCGCAGAAUGGUUGUCAUCAUUGUCUUUAUGCUACAGAGUUUGUUCUGUGACUUUAUAGGCAGCAUUAUAGCCUUCAAUUCAGUUCUAGCUACAAAACAAAAGAUUGAUAUUGCUAGUUAAAACUAUAAUAGCUGCACUGAUGCAUUGGUAUAACGAAGGGAAUACGCACAUAAUAUUGGUUUAAAGGCUAUAAGACGACCACAUGGAUAAUAAGCAAGGCGUAACUUAGCGUUUUAGUUCAG